This is a non-coding RNA of Gossypium raimondii (Peruvian cotton), 107 nucleotides long. The record is from Rfam. NCBI's taxonomy places the organism in Eukaryota, Viridiplantae, Streptophyta, Magnoliopsida, Malvales, Malvaceae.
AUUCCAUGAUGAGGGCACUUCUGUAAUAAUUCUUUGUACCUUUCCCAUGCCUUAUACAAUGACUCGUCAUCCAUUUGUUGGAAAGUAGUGAUCUCGUUCCUAAACUU